CAUCACUGGCCACUUUUGGAGCUCUCUGAUGUGUUCUUGCUGGAGGCAUUAAAAGAUCUAAGGCUGGAGGACUCAUUUCAAUCUCUUUAAAAUCAGUUCCCCUGAUGUGUUGUUUCUACUACGGGUAAAAAAAAAAAAAAAAAAAAAAGGAACUUUCAGCCUGAGAAACAGAAAGGGGAGAUUUUUUAAAUGAUGCUUAGGAGAAAAUCAUCUCCCUGGAAAGGAAGAUCAUGCCUGUGCUUGAGAAGAAAAGGGGAAGUGUGAGGGGAAGAGUAGCGUUGUGUAGAGUCCCCGGUAAGGCAGAAAUAAGUGAUUUUUGCACGUCGCGGUGUCUACAUCCCCACAUUGAAGCAUGAUUCCAACAUGGUGCAAAACUUAGGUGAGCUGGUAUCACGAUGUUGACUUAUAAGUCAAUAUACAUCAAAGAGAAGUAUUCCUUGUCAGAUACAAGCCGCUUGGAGGUGGGAGAUGUCUAAAGAACCCUCAAACGCAAAAUGUUAGUGAAGUUGCUAUUAACCCUCAAUUUUAAUCCUCAAAUUUAUUUUGAUAUGAUUUGGUUUUCCCUCCCUGAGCAGUUUAGCUGGCCCAGCAGCGCAUGUUCAAGUCAGAUUUAUACCUGUAACUGGGGCAAGCACUUCAGCUAAGAGGUUGCUCUUAUCUAGAGCAAUCUCUCCCUCCUUAAAGACCAGACAGAAAUCUCAUGCAGGCAGUCUUUCAUGAGAGAGAUAAAGAGAAACUUCUCAUAUGCACUUAUACAUGCUUUUAUGGAAGAAGAAACUAGGGUUUAAGGAUGACAAAGGUCAAGGUAGGUGGUUCCAUGGAUGUAAUGAAACUCCUGGCCUCCGCCUGACAGCCUACAGGAAAGUGUUCAAUAUUGUCCGACGGACCAAGCCCUGGACUUUCAUCCAGGGGGUGAGUUCUCUCCUAGGUCUCCAACUGAUUUUAGCAUCAUUUGGCUCAAGUCUCUCAGCCAUUUUACACCUUUGCUCAUCUUUUGGGAAACCCUCUGCAACCAAGAGAUGAUCGCUCCAGUUUUUUCCAUUGCGCACACCAGAGCCCUGAGCAGAGGAGAAAGAAACAGGUUUCAAAGCUUACUAGUUCCUUUCUGGACUAACCCGAGCUAGCAAUCAGCUGUGGCAUACAGAUGAAAACACCUGAGGGGUCACUGGGGUUCAGCUGGGUGUCCUGUUAUUCCACUAAUAGGCUGGGAAACAAAAACAAAACGACCCUCAACGUUAAGUGAUGCAGAGGAGUCCAUUCGCCUGCAAGGGCCUGAGAUGACAAAUAAAGUAGUUCUGGCCAGCCUGAGCUAAACACAGCAGUGUGCUUGUUCCUGCCUUGCUGAGGGGCAUUUCUGCAGAGGAGACGAGCUGUGCUGCCAAGGAGAGUACCCGUGCCCCAUCUUUUCCCCUCUGGAGCAGCCAAGUGGGGGUGAGAGCAGCUAACGAGGGAGGUGAGCUGCCUGCCUGCUUGCUGCCCUGACUGGCUGCCUGUACAGAGGCUGCCGGGGAGCCGGACCGUGCCAGCCAGGUUUUUGCAAGUGUGUGAAAAUUAACAAAUCUCACUCUGAGCUGGAAAGGGCAGAUAAUUGAGAGAAUUAAAAUUAAAAAAAAAAAAAAAAAAAAAAAAAAAA
Oxyura jamaicensis (ruddy duck) is the source of this 1633-nucleotide long non-coding RNA. RefSeq lists it as uncharacterized. NCBI's taxonomy places the organism in Eukaryota, Metazoa, Chordata, Aves, Anseriformes, Anatidae. The transcript has 2 exons. The record is from RefSeq and is a predicted model, not a curated record.